RNAcentral lists this ribosomal RNA (279 nucleotides) under uncultured bacterium. RNAcentral describes it as "partial 16S ribosomal RNA". It matches the Rfam family "Bacterial small subunit ribosomal RNA", at positions 506 to 784 of the family's 1533-position model. The record is from RNAcentral.
UGCCAGCCGCCGCGGUAAUACGGAGGGUGCAAGCGUUGUUCGGAAUUAUUGGGCGUAAAGCGCGUGUAGGCGGUUCGUUAAGUCUGAUGUGAAAGCCCGGGGCUCAACCCUGGAACUGCAUCCGAAACUGGGUACCUUGAGUGCGGGAGAGGGAAGCGGAAUUCCUGGUGUAGAGGUGAAAUUCGUAGAUAUCAGGAGGAACACCGGUGGCGAAAGCGCAUCACUGGAUCUUUUCUGACGCUGAGGCACGAAAGCUAGGGUAGCGAACGGGAUUAGAUA